Molecule: long non-coding RNA, 845 nt
Filed under: Rosa chinensis
Lineage: Eukaryota; Viridiplantae; Streptophyta; Magnoliopsida; Rosales; Rosaceae
Description: sRNA RchiOBHm_Chr2g0084661
Source: RNAcentral
UUUCCAUUCCACCCACACUUUGUCAGUUUUCCCACUUCUAUCUCACUCACUUUUAUCUCUCAAUUUUCACACACUCCCUCUUCCUAGGAGCCCUAGCUCUUUUCUCCUUCCUCUUCCGCUAUCUUUCCACGGCAACCACUGCCUCCCUCUUCGGUCUCUCCUUAAUUAACGGCCUCCUCCCUCUCGCCGGCACCAUCACCUCUGCCUGCAAGCUCUCUCUCUCUCUCUCACUCACAUAUAUUUUUGUGGCUCAUCUCGGAGGUGCAACCUGGCGUUGACUCAUCGGAGGAAGGUGAAGAACAUGGUGUCGACGAGAUGAGUGAGUCGGCGAAGGUUUUGUACAUAGUGGUGGUGGAUGGUGAGGAAGAUUUGUUAGGUUGUUUGUGAUUGAUUGGUUCACUGUUGAAUCCCAAGGUUCCUGGGAAGAUAAAUCUUGUACUGGAGUACUGCAGAGGAGGUGAUCUUUCUAUGUAGUAUGUACAUUCAACGCCAUGGCAUGGAAAAGUACCUGAAGCUCUUGCAAAGCACUUCAUGCAGCGGCUAGCUAAAGCUAUAGAUGAGUAUGCCAGUACGUCUUAAAUCUAAGGCAGCAUAAUCAAAUGCUGAAGCAGCAAAUGCGGAUCCUAGGUUGGAGGCUAUCACGGAGAGAAUGUUGAGCAAGUGUGCAAGCUUAUGUGCUUUUAAAUGUAAAAUUUGUUCCCCUAGCUUUCUGACCAUUUUUUUCAUUUUAGGUGUAAGUGCCUUUUUUUGUAAAUUGUAAGGAUCAUGAUCAAAUACAUAAACUAAUGUAAUGCCCCAAUGUUACAACUACUCUUGAAUCAUUUUAUUUUGAGAAAUGUGGAUUG